RNAcentral lists this ribosomal RNA (253 nucleotides) under uncultured bacterium. RNAcentral describes it as "partial 16S ribosomal RNA". It matches the Rfam family "Bacterial small subunit ribosomal RNA", at positions 524 to 776 of the family's 1533-position model. The record is from RNAcentral.
UACGUAGGGGGCAAGCGUUGUCCGGAAUCAUUGGGCGUAAAGAGCGUGUAGGCGGUUCGGUAAGUCGGCUGUGAAAGUCCAAGGCUCAACCUUGGAAAGCCGGUGGAUACUGUGAGGCUAGAGUACGGAAGAGGCGAGUGGAAUUCCUGGUGUAGCGGUGGAAUGCGCAGAUAUCAGGAGGAACACCAAUAGCGAAGGCAGCUCGCUGGGACGUUACUGACACUGAGGCGCGAAAGCGUGGGGAGCGAACAGG